CGUGGGGAACCUGCCCCUAAGUCUGGGAUACCAUUUGGAAACAGGUGCUAAUACCGGAUAACAACAGAUGAUGCCUAUCAACUGUUUAAAAGAUGGUUCUGCUAUCACUCUUGGAUGGACCUGCGGUGCAUUAGCUAGUUGGUAGGGUAACGGCCUACCAAGGCGAUGAUGCAUAGCCGAGUUGAGAGACUGAUCGGCCACAUUGGGACUGAGAUACGGCCCAGACUCCUACGGGAGGCAGCAGCC
Molecule: ribosomal RNA, 246 nt
Filed under: uncultured Lactobacillus sp.
Lineage: Bacteria; Bacillati; Bacillota; Bacilli; Lactobacillales; Lactobacillaceae
Description: partial 16S ribosomal RNA
Rfam family: Bacterial small subunit ribosomal RNA
Source: RNAcentral